GGUGAACGCUGGCGGUGCGCCUAAUACAUGCAAGUCGAACGAGACGCUUAAUUUAUUAAGUUGAAAGUGGCGGACGAGCGAGUAACACGUAACCAUCUGCCCUAUACUCAGGGAUAACUGGUCGAAAGAUCAGCUAAUACCGGAUAGUCCCGCAAGGGUAAAGAUUUAUCGGUAUAGGAGGAGGUUGCGGCUUAUCAGUUUGUUGGUGGGGUAAAGGCCUACCAAGACUAUGACGAGUAGCUGGUGUGAGAGCAUGACCAGCCGCGAUGGAACUGAGACACGGUCCAUACUCCUACGGGAGGCAGCAGUAAGGAAUCUUCCGCAAUGGGCGAAAGCCUGACGGAGCGACACCGCGUGGUGGAUGACGGCCUAUGGGUUGUAAACACCUUUUCUAUGGGAAGAAGAUCUGACGGUACCAUAGGAAUAAGCCCCGGCUAAUUACG
RNAcentral lists this ribosomal RNA (443 nucleotides) under uncultured bacterium. Its description in RNAcentral is "bacterial SSU rRNA". It matches the Rfam family "Bacterial small subunit ribosomal RNA", at positions 28 to 505 of the family's 1533-position model. The record is from RNAcentral.